This 374-nucleotide ribosomal RNA is filed under the name uncultured organism. RNAcentral's name for it is "partial 16S ribosomal RNA". It matches the Rfam family "Bacterial small subunit ribosomal RNA", at positions 527 to 896 of the family's 1533-position model. The record is from RNAcentral.
GUAGGUGGCAAGCGUUGUCCGGGAAUUAUUGGGCGUAAAGCGCGCGCAGGCGGUUCUUUAAGUCUGAUGUGAAAGCCCACGGCUCAACCGUGGAGGGUCAUUGGAAACUGGAGAACUUGAGUACAGAAGAGGAAAGCGGAAUUCCACGUGUAGCGGUGAAAUGCGUAGAGAUGUGGAGGAACACCAGUGGCGAAGGCGGCUUUCUGGUCUGUUAACUGACGCUGAGGCGCGAAAGCGUGGGGAGCAAACAGGAUUAGAUACCCUGGUAGUCCACGCCGUAAACGAUGAGUGCUAAGUGUUAGGGGGUUUCCGCCCCUUAGUGCUGCAGCUAACGCAUUAAGCACUCCGCCUGGGGAGUACGGCCGCAAAGGCUG